This 360-nucleotide ribosomal RNA is filed under the name uncultured bacterium. RNAcentral's name for it is "bacterial SSU rRNA". It matches the Rfam family "Bacterial small subunit ribosomal RNA", at positions 244 to 596 of the family's 1533-position model. The record is from RNAcentral.
GUUAGUUGGUGGGGUAAAGGCCUACCAAGACAAUGAUGCAUAGCCGAGUUGAGAGACUGAUCGGCCACAUUGGGACUGAGACACGGCCCAAACUCCUACGGGAGGCUGCAGUAGGGAAUCUUCCACAAUGGGCGAAAGCCUGAUGGAGCAACGCCGCGUGUGUGAUGAAGGCUUUCGGGUCGUAAAGCACUGUUGUAUGGGAAGAACAGCUAGAGUAGGGAAUGACUUUAGUUUGACGGUACCAUACCAGAAAGGGACGGCUAAAUACGUGCCAGCAGCCGCGGUAAUACGUAUGUCCCGAGCGUUAUCCGGAUUUAUUGGGCGUAAAGCGAGCGCAGACGGUUGAUUAAGUCUGAUGUG